Molecule: ribosomal RNA, 253 nt
Filed under: uncultured bacterium
Lineage: Bacteria
Description: partial 16S ribosomal RNA
Rfam family: Bacterial small subunit ribosomal RNA
Source: RNAcentral
UACGUAGGGUGCGAGCGUUAAUCGGAAUUACUGGGCGUAAAGCGUGCGCAGGCGGGCUUUUAAGCCAGACGUGAAAUCCCCGGGCUUAACCUGGGAAUGGCGUUUGGGACUGGGAGUCUGGAGUGCGGCAGAGGAGACUGGAAUUCCUGGUGUAGCAGUGAAAUGCGUAGAUAUCAGGAGGAACACCGAUGGCGAAGGCAGGUCUCUGGGCUGUAACUGACGCUGAGGCGCGAAGGUCAGGGGAGCAAACGGG